Mangifera indica (mango) is the source of this 425-nucleotide long non-coding RNA. RefSeq lists it as uncharacterized. The transcript is spliced from 2 exons. NCBI's taxonomy places the organism in Eukaryota, Viridiplantae, Streptophyta, Magnoliopsida, Sapindales, Anacardiaceae. The record is from RefSeq and is a predicted model, not a curated record.
AAAGAAGAAGAAAACCAAAGGAACAACAUCAAAAGAAGAAAAAAGUAAAGAGCAUGUGCCAGUUACAUCCACAUUGGCCUUUUGGAGUGAUCAAUAUCCACAAACAACAAUGCCAACUUCAAAUGAGGCAGAAAAACAAAGUGAACAACUACAGCAGCAAUCAAAUUCAGUACAGAAUGGAGUUGAACCUAUUGAUGGAGCUGGGGAUGAGGCAAUGGCAGAGGGUGACAUUGGCGAUGAAAUGACCACUGCGAUGGAAUAGCAAUCUUGACAAUAAUAAUAACAAUAGAAAUUAGGAAUAAAUCUUAGCCAGAAUGAACUAUAAUCAACAGCUAAGACAGAAUUUCUUUGAUCAAACUCUGAUUGUCAAUUUCAUACUCAGUAUAAACAAGGCUUCUUUUGACGCCAGAUCUGGCAUCAGUUUA